GGAUGGGAGAAGAGAUGGGUAAAAUCCGACUGGAAGAAAGAUGAUAACACUGCUGGGGAGUGGAAACACACAGCUGGCAACUGGUCCGGUGACGCUAACGAUAAAGGUAUCCAGACUAGCGAGGACUACAGAUUCUACGCUAU
Molecule: non-coding RNA, 143 nt
Organism: Camelina sativa (false flax)
Lineage: Eukaryota; Viridiplantae; Streptophyta; Magnoliopsida; Brassicales; Brassicaceae
Source: RefSeq, a predicted model, not a curated record